RNAcentral lists this ribosomal RNA (690 nucleotides) under uncultured bacterium. RNAcentral describes it as "bacterial SSU rRNA". It matches the Rfam family "Bacterial small subunit ribosomal RNA", at positions 32 to 715 of the family's 1533-position model. The record is from RNAcentral.
AACGCUAGCUACAGGCUUAACACACGCAAGUCGAGGGGCAGCACUAGGUAGCAAUACUGAGGUGGCGACCGGCGCACGGGUGCGUAACGCGUAUCCAACCUUCCCGUUACUCUUGGAUAGCCUUCCGAAAGGGAGAUUAAUACAAGAUGGUAUUCAGAUUCCGCAUGUUAUUUGAAUUAAAGAUUUAUCGGUAACGGAUGGGGAUGCGUGACAUUAGAUAGUAGGCGGGGUAACGGCCCACCUAGUCUACGAUGUCUAGAGGUUCUGAGAGGAAGGUCCCCCACACUGGAACUGAGACACGGUCCAGACUCCUACGGGAGGCAGCAGUGAGGAAUAUUGGUCAAUGGUCGGAAGACUGAACCAGCCAAGUAGCGUGAAGGAUGAAGGUUCUAUGGAUUGUAAACUUCUUUUAUACGGGAAUAAAACCUCCCACGUGUGGGAGCUUGUAUGUACCGUAUGAAUAAGCAUCGGCUAACUCCGUGCCAGCAGCCGCGGUAAUACGGAGGAUGCGAGCGUUAUCCGGAUUUAUUGGGUUUAAAGGGAGCGUAGGCCGGAGAUUAAGCGUGUUGUGAAAUGUAGAUGCUCAACAUCUGAACUGCAGCGCGAACUGGUUUCCUUGAGUACGCAUAAAGUGGGCGGAAUUCGUGGUGUAGCGGUGAAAUGCUUAGAUAUCACGAAGAACUCCGAUUG